GAGGAAGGAGAUGGGCACUGCCCAAUCAGAAAUGAGGAGAAAGGGAUAGUGACGAAUAGGAGAGAAGAACCAGGAGGGAAAGGAGAGAAGAAGAAAAGGAGGGAACCCAAAACUGGUCUUCCUUGACUAGUAUGACCCUGCCAACGGGAACCAUAGAAACCGAUGGUUUCCCGGCCAAAUUUCGGUGAUUUAAGCCAAACCAUCACCUAGAAACACCUCCCUAGCCUUCUCUCUACCAUUUCUACCCCUAAAUUCAUACAAUUUGACCUUAGAUUCGGGAGAAAUGCACCGGUGGUGCGUGUG
This 303-nucleotide long non-coding RNA is filed under the name Malus domestica (apple). RNAcentral describes it as "long non-coding RNA (MDOM_LNC005963)". Lineage: Eukaryota; Viridiplantae; Streptophyta; Magnoliopsida; Rosales; Rosaceae. The record is from RNAcentral.